CAUGUCUUUUUGAUAAUAAUAUAAAGUUUGACCUGCCCAAUGAAUUAUUUAAUGGCCGCAGUAUUUUGACUGUGCAAAGGUAGCAUAAUAAUUAGUUUUUUGAUUGAAAGCUGGUAUGAAUGGUUGGACGAGAAAAUAACUGUCUUAAUUUAAUUUAAAUAGAAUUUAACUUUUUAGUGAAAAGGCUUAAAUUUAAUUUAAAGACGAGAAGACCCUAUAGAGUUUUAUAUUUUUUUGUUUAAUUAAUUUUUAGAAUAUACUAAUUGUUAAAAAUAAAAUAUUUUGUUGGGGUGACUUAAAGAUUAAAUGAAUUCUUUAUUUAUUAAAACAAUAAUUAUUGAAUUGUUGAUCCAGAUUUUCUGAUUAAAAGAUUAAAUUACCUUAGGGAUAACAGCGUAAUCUUUUUAGAGAGUUCUAAUCGAUAAAAGGGAUUGCGACCUCGAUGUUGGAUUAAAAUUAAUUUCUGGUGCAGAAGCUAGGAAAAUUGAGUCUGUUCGACUUUUAAAAUUUUACAUGAUCUGAGU
RNAcentral lists this ribosomal RNA (524 nucleotides) under Mandersia sp. UPOL RK0670. RNAcentral's name for it is "partial 16S ribosomal RNA". It matches the Rfam family "Bacterial large subunit ribosomal RNA", at positions 1814 to 2610 of the family's 2925-position model. The record is from RNAcentral. Lineage: Eukaryota; Metazoa; Arthropoda; Insecta; Coleoptera; Limnichidae.